This 253-nucleotide ribosomal RNA is filed under the name uncultured bacterium. Its description in RNAcentral is "partial 16S ribosomal RNA". It matches the Rfam family "Bacterial small subunit ribosomal RNA", at positions 524 to 776 of the family's 1533-position model. The record is from RNAcentral.
UACGUAGGGGGCUAGCGUUGUCCGGAAUCAUGGGGCGUAAAGAGCGUGUAGGCGGCUCGGUAAGUCCGCUGUGAAAGUCCAGGGCUCAACCCUGGAAUGCCAGUGGAAACUGUCGAGCUAGAGUCCGGAAGAGGCGAGUGGAAUUCCUGGUGUAGCGGUGAAAUGCGCAGAUAUCAGGAGGAACACCAAUGGCGAAGGCAGCUCGCUGGGACGGUACUGACGCUGAGACGCGAAAGCGUGGGGAGCAAACAGG